UAAGCUCGUCUUAGUUUUCCUCU
RNAcentral lists this microRNA (23 nucleotides) under Caenorhabditis briggsae. RNAcentral's name for it is "cbr-miR-787". Its record names the gene cbr-miR-787. Lineage: Eukaryota; Metazoa; Nematoda; Chromadorea; Rhabditida; Rhabditidae. The record is from miRBase by way of RNAcentral.